Molecule: ribosomal RNA, 372 nt
Filed under: uncultured bacterium
Lineage: Bacteria
Description: bacterial SSU rRNA
Rfam family: Archaeal small subunit ribosomal RNA
Source: RNAcentral
UCCUAGCUGUAAAGCAUGCGGGCCAGGUGUCUAGCGCUCCUUGAGGGCGCUAUGUGCCGGAGGGAAGCCGUUAAGCCCGCCGCCUGGGAAGUACGGCCGCAAGGCUGAAACUUAAAGAAAUUGGCGGGGGAGCACCACAAGGGGUGGAACCUGCGGUUCAAUUGGAUUCAACGCCGGACAACUCACCAGGGGCGACAGUUGGUUGAAGGCCAGGUUGACGACUUUGCUGGACUAGCUGAGAGGUGGUGCAUGGCCAUCGUCAGCUCGUACCGUGAGGCGUCCUGUUAAGUCAGGCAACGAGCGAGAUCCUCGCCCCUAGUUGCCAUCGGUGGGAAGCCGGGCACUCUAGGGGGACCGCUGGCGCUAAGUCAG